Molecule: small RNA, 163 nt
Filed under: Arabidopsis thaliana (thale cress)
Lineage: Eukaryota; Viridiplantae; Streptophyta; Magnoliopsida; Brassicales; Brassicaceae
Description: ATSL267400
Source: RNAcentral
CUAACCAAGCUUCUUCUUGCUUCUCAAAGCUUUGAUGGUCUAGCCGUAGUCGGUUGAGUCUUUGGCUUUGUAUCUUCUAACAAGGAUACAAUACUUAGGCUUUUAAGAUCUGGUUGCAAUUCUAGUUGUUAUACUCACUCAUACACAUGACAUCUAGUCAUAG